RNA transcript from Gorilla gorilla gorilla (western lowland gorilla), 2713 nucleotides. It is a transcript of the gene named golgin, RAB6 interacting, with no coding region annotated. Lineage: Eukaryota; Metazoa; Chordata; Mammalia; Primates; Hominidae. The transcript is spliced from 5 exons. The record is from RefSeq and is a predicted model, not a curated record.
UUGGCCGCGGCCGGGGAAAAACCCGGAUACGCUGGGCAGCAGAGUUGGCAGUCGCGGCUGCGAGAUUUGGGCACUUUUGGGGGUGCCGGUGGCCCGGGCCGAUGGCGCAAGGUUGGGCAGGCUUCUCUGAGGAGGAACUGAGGAGACUAAAGCAGACUAAAGAUCCAUUUGAACCACAGCGACGUCUCCCCGUGAAGAAAAGUCGACAACAACUUCAGCGAGAAAAAGCCCUUGUAGAGCAAAGCCAAAAACUUGGGCUUCAAGAUGGAUCAACCUCAUUACUUCCAGAGCAGCUGCUUUCAGCACCAAAACAGAGAGUUAACAUUCAAAAACCACCUUUUUCUUCCCCUCCUCUUCCAAGUCAUUUCACUCUCACCUCCCCUGUUGGUGAUGGACAACCACAGGGCAUUGAAAGUCAGCCAAAGGAACUGGGACUUGAGAAUUCCCAUGAUGGUCACAACAAUGUUGAGAUUCUACCUCCAAAGCCAGAUUGCAAAUUGGAGAAAAAGAAAGUGGAAUUGCAAGAAAAAUCUCGUUGGGAAGUCCUCCAACAAGAACAACGGCUAAUGGAAGAGAAAAAUAAACGUAAAAAAGCUCUUUUGGCUAAAGCUAUUGCAGAAAGAUCCAAAAGAACUCAGGCAGAGACCAUGAAACUAAAGCGGAUCCAGAAGGAGUUGCAGGCUUUAGAUGACAUGGUGUCAGCUGACAUUGGAAUUCUCAGGAACCGGAUUGAUCAGGCCAGCUUAGACUAUUCAUACGCUCGGUGAGUUGGGGAAAUUGAAUCUGAACAAGGAGUAUGAUUUAAUUAAUGUUUAUUGCCAGCUGUUCCAAUCCUCUUUUGAAUAUCUUCUUCAAUGGAAAACUGAUGGACCUAUCUUUAUACACAUCCUUACAGGAAGCGGUUUGACAGGGCUGAAGCAGAGUACAUUGCAGCAAAGCUAGAUAUACAGCGCAAGACUGAGAUAAAAGAGCAACUCACUGAACACCUUUGUACGAUCAUACAGCAAAAUGAGCUCCGAAAGGCCAAGAAGUUGGAGGAGUUGAUGCAACAACUAGAUGUGGAAGCCGAUGAAGAGACUUUGGAGCUUGAGGUGGAGGUCGAGAGAUUGCUACACGAACAAGAAGUAGAAUCAAGGAGACCAGUGGUUCGUUUAGAGAGGCCAUUUCAGCCUGCGGAGGAGAGUGUGACAUUAGAAUGUGCUAAAGAGAACAAAAAGUGUCAAGAACAAGCUGUUUCCCCAAAGGUAGAUGAACAGUGUGGAAAUUCCAGUAGCAUCCCCUUUCUUAGUCCACACUGCCCAAAUCAAGAAGGUAAUGACAUUUCAGCUGCUUUGGCCACAUGAAGUUCUGGUAUUCUUUUGAGCUAAUAUGGUAUUGAGUAAAGUAUACUUUUUGCGGUUAGAUCAUGCCCUGACCUCCAAUAAAAACCUCUUUAAAACAAUGCUGAUUUUUGAAUUCAUGAUUAGUUUUAGUAAAUUAAUAUGUUUGGCCAUUCUAAAAUCCAAAAUUAUGAUAACUAUAUUUCUAGGGGUAUGUUUCACCUUGAUUUUGGCCCAGUUCUUUCAGUGUUCCGUUUACCCUUUUUACUGAAACUAAGUGACUCAAAAGGAUGGAAGAAAAACUACAUGGUUGGAGUGUUUUUAGAUCAGAUAAAUAUAGAAAAGUAAAAUGGAAAAUGAUACUCAAUACCUAGUUAAACUCAUUUCACUUCUGGGAGACGUAUUAAGACUGGAAGUCCUAUUUUAUUUAAUCAGUAUCAGUAAAAAGACAAAAAUUACAGUGUGAACAAGAGAAAAACAGGAAUAGAAGAAAAAAGUUGCAGGUUGAAUUAUCUAUCUGGAUAUUACUAGAGUUGUAAAACACAACUUGGAAAUUGGAAUUUAUGUGAAGAACCAGACAACUUAAACCAGCAUCACUUUUGUCUUCAAUUUGCCUUCCAAUGAUUUUAGUUUACAACCUGCGUUUUGUUAUUUGAAACACACACACAAGUAUAUAUAAACACAUGUAAUUUUACUAUUUUAUUGUCUUUCCUUUAAUCGAUGAAUUGAUUAAAUUUAGACAAUUAAAACAUUUCUAAAGUGAGGCUGAAAAUAAUAUAGAAAAUCUCAUUGCUACUUGUGAUUAUCAAAAAAUAUGUAUUUUCUUUCUAAAGUUAUCUAUAAAUAUGUGUUUGAUAUGUUGGACAUGAAUUACCCUGUUAUGAAGCAUUUAAAUUGUUAAAAUGCUGAUUUUCUUAUUAGUUUGUUAAUUGCCUGUUACUAGUACUUGACAAAUACAUUGUGCUAUAUGUAAAUGUGUAAAUAAAUAUUGUAAUUUUCUCACAAAGUCUGUGAAUAUCACACUAUGAUUUAUUUAUCAGAAAUUCCAAAAAGUAAAAAUAUUACCUUUGAGGACUUUUUUUUUAAAAAAAAAGAAUUAUUAUCAGAGAACAUAAGCACAAGUAUAAGAUUGUAUCCAUAAAAGUUUCUGAAAAACUUAGGGACAUCGUGUUUUUAAAUGGGUUUGUUUGAGGGUAUUAUCUUCUGUUAAUAUAGAUGAGCUUUAUAUUUUUAUAUUAUGUAAUUUGAGUUGAAAGUAUAACAUUUUACUACUGACUUCUCUAAACAGGAGCAUUUCUAUAGAUAGUUGUGCUUUUAUUUAUGAAAUAAAUAAAAGCCAAAAGUUUCAUUGUCUAACACACUUCUUUUUCUAAGGAAUAAACAAGUUUGAUGUA